RNAcentral lists this ribosomal RNA (463 nucleotides) under uncultured Sphingobacteriales bacterium. Its description in RNAcentral is "bacterial SSU rRNA". It matches the Rfam family "Bacterial small subunit ribosomal RNA", at positions 916 to 1382 of the family's 1533-position model. The record is from RNAcentral. Lineage: Bacteria; Pseudomonadati; Bacteroidota; Sphingobacteriia; Sphingobacteriales.
GGGGCCCGCACAAGCGGAGGAACAUGUGGUUAAUUCGAUGAUACGCGAGGAACCUUACCUGGGCUUAAAUGUAGAGUGCAUGAGGUGAAAUAUCUCUUUCCUUCGGGACUCUUUGCAAGGUGCUGCAUGGUUGUCGUCAGCUCGUGCCGUGAGGUGUCGGGUUAAGUCCCAUAACGAGCGCAACCCUUAUCGUUAGUUGCCAGCGGGUGAUGCCGGGAACUCUAACGAAACUGCCGGUGUAAACCGAGAGGAAGGUGGGAUGACGUCAAAUCAGCACGGCCCUUAUGUCCAGGGCUACACACGUGUUACAAUGGCCGGUACAGAGGGCAGCUACCUGGAGACAGGAUGCGAAUCUCCAAAGCCGGUCUCAGUUCGGAUCGGAGUCUGCAACUCGACUCCGUGAAGCUGGAUUCGCUAGUAAUCGCGCAUCAGCCAUGGCGCGGUGAAUACGUUCCCGGGCCUU